CCUACGGGAGGCAGCAGUGGGGAAUAUUGCACAAUGGGCGAAACCCUGAUCCAGCCACGCCGCGUGAGGGAAGACGGUUUUCUGAUUGUAAAAUUCUGUUCUUAGUGAAGAAUAAUGACGGUAGCUAAGUAGCAAGCCACGGCUAACUACGUGCCAGCAGCCGCGGUAAUACGUAGGAGGCAAGCGUUUUCCGGAAUUACUGGGUGUAAAGGGAGCGCAGGCGGGAAGCUAAGUCAGCUGUGAAAACUACGGGCUUAACUUGUAGACUGCAGUUGAAACUGGUUUUCUUGAGUGAAGUAGAGGUUGGCGGAAUGCCGGGUGGAGCGGUGAAAUGCGUAGAUAUUCGGAGGAACACCGGUGGCGAAGGCGGCCAACUGGGCUUUAACUGACGCUGAGGCUCGAAAGUGUGGGGAGCAAACAGGAUUAGAUACCCCGGUAGUC
This 441-nucleotide ribosomal RNA is filed under the name uncultured bacterium. Its description in RNAcentral is "partial 16S ribosomal RNA". It matches the Rfam family "Bacterial small subunit ribosomal RNA", at positions 338 to 795 of the family's 1533-position model. The record is from RNAcentral.